GGCUAUGGCUUAGAUAAGUGACCGAUAAUGCAAAUGUCGAAACUAAUCAAAUGAAUGUAAUGUUUUGGAACUACCGUCUACCUUUGCAGGGCUUAGCCUAAAUCUGAGAGGAUGUUUGGUGUUGCGUUUUCAAAGUAGAUUAUGCAUUUUCAAAAUAGAUUUUGCGUUUUUAAAACUGCGUUUUGAAAAAGCAUGUAGGUACAUGCUUCUCCAAAACUGCGUUUUGGAGGCAGAUAAUCACUUUUUCAUCCAAACACUUUUUUAGAUUAUUUAUGUUUUAGAAAAACGAAAUAAUCAAAUAAACACUUCAAAACGUAAUCCCAAACACCUUCUGAAUAUAAAUCCGAAGGUCAAGAGGUCCCCUUUGGUAUGAAUAAUCUUGAGGUUAACAACGAAUUUGAUCUCAUUAUUAGAGCCCACUAUCAGAGGAAGUAUAAUUAAAUGUCUCGGAUCAUGCGGAAUCCAUUCCAGUGGUGGAAAUCUUCGCCGAUGGUCCGUCUACUCUAGACAACUACAAUGCUCUUCAGAAGGAAAUAGAGGCGACAGUCAUGCUGGUUUGAAGCUGUGAAAUCAGUUAAAAUUAGGCAAUUUUUAUUGACUAAUGGUCGGAUGAAAGGAAGCAAUGAUUGUUGAAAAUUUAGAUAUUAUGAAUGGAUAUUAAUU
This 663-nucleotide long non-coding RNA is filed under the name Helianthus annuus (common sunflower). Its description in RNAcentral is "hypothetical non coding rna". The record is from RNAcentral. Lineage: Eukaryota; Viridiplantae; Streptophyta; Magnoliopsida; Asterales; Asteraceae.